This 432-nucleotide ribosomal RNA is filed under the name uncultured bacterium. RNAcentral describes it as "partial 16S ribosomal RNA". It matches the Rfam family "Bacterial small subunit ribosomal RNA", at positions 29 to 507 of the family's 1533-position model. The record is from RNAcentral.
ACGAACGCUGGCGGCCUGCCUAACACAUGCCAGUCGAACGAGACCUUCGGGUCUAGUGGCGCACGGGUGCGUAACGCGUGGGAACCUGCCCUUAGGUUCGGAAUAACUCCCCGAAAGGGGUGCUAAUACCGGAUAAUGUCUUCGGACCAAAGAUUUAUCGCCUUUGGAUGGGCCCGCGUUGGAUUAGCUAGUUGGUAGGGUAAAAGCCUACCAAGGCGACGAUCCAUAGCUGGUCUGAGAGGAUGAUCAGCCACACUGGGACUGAGACACGGCCCAGACUCCUACGGGAGGCAGCAGUGGGGAAUAUUGGACAAUGGGCGAAAGCCUGAUCCAGCAAUGCCGCGUGAGUGAUGAAGGCCUUAGGGUUGUAAAGCUCUUUUACCCGGGAUGAUAAUGACAGUACCGGGAGAAUAAGCGCCGGCUAACUCCGUG